GAGUUUGAUCAUGGCUCAGGACGAACGCUGGCGGCGUGCUUAACACAUGCAAGUCGAACGGAAAGGCCCUGCUUUUGUGGGGUGCUCGAGUGGCGAACGGGUGAGUAACACGUGAGUAACCUGCCCUUGACUUUGGGAUAACUUCAGGAAACUGGGGCUAAUACCGGAUAGGAGCUCCUGCUGCAUGGUGGGGGUUGGAAAGUUUCGGCGGUUGGGGAUGGACUCGCGGCUUAUCAGCUUGUUGGUGGGGUAGUGGCUUACCAAGGCUUUGACGGGUAGCCGGCCUGAGAGGGUGACCGGCCACAUUGGGACUGAGAUACGGCCCAGACUCCUACGGGAGGCAGCAGUGGGGAAUAUUGCACAAUGGGCGGAAGCCUGAUGCAGCAACGCCGCGUGCGGGAUGACGGCCUUCGGGUUGUAAACCGCUUUCGCCUGUGACGAAGCGUGAGUGACGGUAAUGGGUAAAGAAGCACCGGCUAACUACGUGCCAGCAGCCGCGGUAAUAC
RNAcentral lists this ribosomal RNA (506 nucleotides) under uncultured Actinomycetales bacterium. Its description in RNAcentral is "bacterial SSU rRNA". It matches the Rfam family "Bacterial small subunit ribosomal RNA", at positions 9 to 526 of the family's 1533-position model. The record is from RNAcentral. Lineage: Bacteria; Bacillati; Actinomycetota; Actinomycetes; Actinomycetales.